GACGAACGCUGGCGGCGUACUUAACACAUACAAGUCGAACGGAAAGGCCCUGCUUUUGUGGGGUGCUCGAGUGGCGAACGGGUGAGUAACACGUGAGUAACCUGCCCUUGACUUUGGGAUAACUUCAGGAAACUGGGGCUAAUACCGGAUAGGAGCUCCUGCUGCAUGGUGGGGGUUGGAAAGUUUCGGCGGUUGGGGAUGGACUCGCGGCUUAUCAGCUUGUUGGUGGGGUAGUGGCUUACCAAGGCUUUGACGGGUAGCCGGCCUGAGAGGGUGACCGGCCACAUUGGGACUGAGAUACGGCCCAGACUCCUACGGGAGGCAGCAGUGGGGAAUAUUGCACAAUGGGCGGAAGCCUGAUGCAGCAACGCCGCGUGCGGGAUGACGGCCUUCGGGUUGUAAACCGCUUUCGCCUGUGACGAAGCGUGAGUGACGGUAAUGGGUAAAGAAGCACCGGCUAACUACGUG
Molecule: ribosomal RNA, 468 nt
Filed under: uncultured bacterium
Lineage: Bacteria
Description: partial 16S ribosomal RNA
Rfam family: Bacterial small subunit ribosomal RNA
Source: RNAcentral